Molecule: ribosomal RNA, 253 nt
Filed under: uncultured bacterium
Lineage: Bacteria
Description: partial 16S ribosomal RNA
Rfam family: Bacterial small subunit ribosomal RNA
Source: RNAcentral
UACGUAGGGUCCGAGCGUUGUUCGGAAUUACUGGGCGUAAAGGGCUCGUAGGCGGCCAACUAAGUCAGACGUGAAAUCCCCAGGCUCAACCUGGGAACUGCGUCUGAUACUGGAUGGCUUGAAUCCGGGAGAGGGAUGCAGAAUUCCAGGUGUAGCGGUGAAAUGCGUAGAUAUCUGGAGGAAUACCGGUGGCGAAGGCGGCAUCCUGGACCGGCAUUGACGCUGAGGAGCGAAAGCCAGGGGAGCAAACAGG